CCUACGGGGGGCAGCAGUGAGGAAUAUUGGUCAAUGGACGAGAGUCUGAACCAGCCAAGUAGCGUGAAGGAUGACUGCCCUAUGGGUUGUAAACUUCUUUUAUAUGGGAAUAAAACGUUCCACGUGUGGGAUUUUGUAUGUACCAUAUGAAUAAGGAUCGGCUAACUCCGUGCCAGCAGCCGCGGUAAUACGGAGGAUCCGAGCGUUAUCCGGAUUUAUUGGGUUUAAAGGGAGCGUAGGUGGAUUGUUAAGUCAGUUGUGAAAGUUUGCGGCUCAACCGUAAAAUUGCAGUUGAAACUGGCAGUCUUGAGUACAGUAGAGGUGGGCGGAAUUCGUGGUGUAGCGGUGAAAUGCUUAGAUAUCACGAAGAACUCCGAUUGCGAAGGCAGUUCACUGGACUGCAACUGACACUGAGGCUCGAAAGUGUGGGUAUCAAACAGGAUUAGAUACCCGAGUGUC
This 459-nucleotide ribosomal RNA is filed under the name uncultured bacterium. RNAcentral's name for it is "partial 16S ribosomal RNA". It matches the Rfam family "Bacterial small subunit ribosomal RNA", at positions 338 to 795 of the family's 1533-position model. The record is from RNAcentral.